This is a long non-coding RNA of Loxodonta africana (African savanna elephant), 6670 nucleotides long. RefSeq lists it as uncharacterized. The transcript is spliced from 3 exons. NCBI's taxonomy places the organism in Eukaryota, Metazoa, Chordata, Mammalia, Proboscidea, Elephantidae. The record is from RefSeq and is a predicted model, not a curated record.
ACAGCUGCUAACCAAGAGGUCGGCAGUUCAAAUCCACCAGGUGCUCCUUGGAAACUCUAUGGCGCAGCUACGAGUCAGAAUCGACUCUGCGGCAGUGGGUGUUGGUUUUGGGUGUGCAGUAUUGCAUUUGUGAAAUACAGCACCAUCAUGAUCAUAAAUGGCUCUUGGGGGAUUUUUGGUUUUGGUAGGACUUUGCCUAUGAUCAGAAAUGCCAGUCAUGCAGUGGUUAAGGUCAGCGGUUCGAAUCCACCAGGUGCUCCUUGGAAACCUUAUGGAGCAGUUCUACUCUGUCCUGUAGGAUCUCUAUGAGAUGGAAUCGACUUGACGGCACUGGGUUUGGUUUUUAUUUUGGUUUUGCCUAUGAUCAUUAAAUAAAAUAUUUUUCCAAUGGGUUGUUUAUUACAAAAUUGGCAAUAUUCAUCUAAAUAUUAGAUCUCAGACAGGCAUUUAACUAGAACCAAUGAAGACUAUGGGCUCAACGAAGAAAAGUGGUUGGGGAAAUUGACCAUUUGGGAAGAAAGCUGGCUGGACAGUACCAACAACUCUGAUCAAGCAAAUGACCAUCAAGGUCAGUUGAAAUAACACAUACCAUAAAAUGGGGUUUGAGGCAAAAGAGCUGCUCUCUGAGCCGCAAUGCUCACAUCUCUAAAAUGAGGGGAGUUGUGUUUUACCAUACUGAAGAAUGUUAGGAUCAGAUAAGAUGAUGAGAAAAUGUGAUCUUUCCCCCCAUCCUCCCAGACACAGCAAGAAACCAGGGAGUCAGGUAAGAUACCUCUCGAUCCCUUGUCUCUCACCUCCUACUAUUUCCCAGCAGCACUUGCUCAAAAUAAACUUAGGUUGGGGAGAAAGCAUUGCAUAGAGCGUAAGUGCAUGGCCUUUGAAAUCAAGCAACCUGGGUCAAACCAGAGCUCUCCACUUAAUACCUAUAGGACUUAGGGCAAGUCAUCUUCACCUUCACUUAAUGCAUAUGAAAAAUGGCGAUCAUAAUCAAACCCAACUCAAAAAGUUGUCCUGAGAAUUAAACGAGUUCAUAUAUGAAAAGCACUUAAAACACAAUGACUAACACACAGUAAGAACUCAAAACCAAUUAUCAAUCCUUUUUGUAUAUUAUGUGACUGAUACAUGCCAGGCACAUCAUGGAACAGAUGCCAGAGAUGAAACAAAGAAUACCAUAUAAAUGUUGCCUUCAGAUCCUUCAAGUCUGACUCUAUCACUCUAUUCUGGAAAACUCUGUUUUUGAUGUGGUGUGUUUUUCAUGUACACUUGGAACAUAUGCAGAAUUCAACAUAUGACCUGACAUGGUUGGGCUGGCCACCAGUAGAACUUCUUUUGUAACUACGAUAUUUCAACAAAUUUAAGAUACUAUCAAUGCAAGAGGUGCCAUUUUAGGGACCAUUAAAAAAGAAAAAAACAAACACUGCUGUUCAUAAUUGUAAGAUGCCAUUGGUUGUGAAAUACUCUAAUUUCAAUUUGAAAGGUGAAAAAAAAAAUCUGUUUUAGAAUUAAUGCAAUAUGGUAUUUUCAUCUCUCUGUCACUGUCUAGAACUCACAAAGGAACAUUCUGCCUGAACCGUGUGUAUAUACGUGUUAAAGGGAUGGAAGAGGAAGUGGCUCAAGAAGGACAUUUCACAAUAGUCCGGAACUGGCUUUGAGGGAAACUUACUAGGCCAAAAAAUAAGUGAAAUAUCAGUGAGGGAUAUCCUGCACUAAAGGAGCAGUAAACUUCUGGAGUUGCCAUCAAAAUGACUGUAUCCAGGUCUUUAGUAUGCUUACAAGUUAGAAAACUCAUUCCAGCUCUAGGACCCUCUAUCAGACCAAGGAGAGACAAUGGACCAAGAGCAAUGUAAUCUCAGGGGCCAAGGAGAUGACAGAGCACCUCAAGCACACAGCUGAUGAGGCUUGCAUUUUCUGACCAGGUUACACUUCUCCCAUGACCUAACUGCAUAUCAGAGUCCAAAAGCGUUACAGAUGGGGGCAAUGAAGAACCAGCUCCAACCAGAGAAAGGAGGUCAACUUCUACAGCUGCCUUCUUCUUCCUCUCAAUCCAGGGACCCUAGGGGUCAAGGGUCGGAUUGUUGUUGUUUAUUGCCACUGAAUUGGCUCCAGAAUCAUGGCGACACCAUGCACAAUGAAGCAAAACGCUGCCUGGUCCUGCAGUAUCCCCGUGAUCAGCUGAGGACUGAACCGUUGUGAUCCACAGGGUUUUCACUGGCUGAUUUUCAGGCCUUUCUUCUUUGUUCAUCCGAACAUGAUUUAAAUUCAUAUCUGUUAUUAUUAAACAAAUAUUUAUCCAGUGCCUGCAAAUGAGAAGUGUCUAGUGAAAACUAAAGAAGUGACGGUUUGUAAAGGACAAAGCACAUAACAGCAGAUAAAUAAUGAAUGUUGUUAUUGUUAGCUACAGUGGAGUUGGCCCCCUCAUGGAGAGCUUAUGCACAACAGAACAAAAUGCUACUCCUCCCCAUGAUUGGUUGGAGAUCAGACCAUUGUGAUCCAUAGGGUUUUCACUGGUUGAUUUUCAGAAGAAGAUCGCCAGGCCUUUGUUUCUAAUAUAUCUUAGUCUGGACGCUCUGCUAAAACCUGUUCAGCAUCCAUAACAAUAUUCAAGCCUUACUGACAGCUAGGUGGUGGCUGUACAUGAGGUACACUGGCCAGGAAUGGAACCUGGGUCUCCCAUAUGGAAGGCAAGAAUUCUACCACUGAACCAACGACGCCUCAAUAAAUAAUGAAUAGGACUUCCCUUUGGCCACCAGUGCCAGGUUAUUUUCACUUACAUUACUUUGGAAAAAUCCUGCUAUUUAAUUUGAGGAUUAGCAAAAUCCCUGUCUCUGUUCUGCUCCUUUAAAUUAAAAUUAAAAGCUCCUCUGAUCUUUAAUGUAUAAUUUUUACAGCCUAAUAAGUAUCUGAACACCACUCAAGGGUUAUGUAUUCUGUAUCUGCUCUGGAUGGCCCCUCCUUUGGCAGUGAGCAGGUGUCUGUGUGUGUUCUUCCACACCUUCUAGAUAUAAUAUUACUUCCCUGAGGACAAGGAUUAGCUUCGGAUUUCCUUUAAUUCUAGCACAGAGCCAAAUAUGCUAAAAGCUUAUAAAGUUGUUCAUAAAAAUGACAAAGAAGGGACUUUCCUUCAUGCAAUAGUUGUCAUUUUUCAGUCUUAUCCUAGUUAGAGAUGAAGAACAAAGUGUUCAAUUAGUUCUCAUUCCAUUUUGUACUGAAGAAAAAAGAACAUACGUAAAGACAUUAAUGUUUGACUAGUCGUAUGUGAAGAACUCUUAUCUGUAAAGGAAGAUGACAAUGUUCAUGAUGAAUUCACUGAGGAAAUGCAUUUGAUAAAGAAGAUUGCCAUCUUUUGUUUCAAAUCAUGUAAAAGGAUUGGGUGACAUGCCUAACCAUAGUGUGUCAACAAAGGGGGUAUUUUACAGAUUCUCAGUUAUGAUAUAUAUAUAUACUUCUAUAUAUUUAAUAAUCUGUUAUUGUGUUUUAGGUGAAAGUUUACACAGCAAAUUAGCUUCCCCUUUAACAAUUUUUAUACUAAUUGUUCCAUGCCAUUGGUUACAAUGUGUGAGCAUUCUCAUCAUUUCCAUUCUUUUUCUUCUGUUUUCAUUGAUCUAGAUUCCCUUCCCCUCCUUGCCUUCUCAUCUUUGCUUUUGAGUAAAUGUUGACCGUUUGCCUCAGAUGUGGUAUUAGUGAUUGGGACUACUUCCCAGCAGGCUGUAAUAAUUGAUUUUUUAAAAAAAGAUGUUCAAUUUUAUGAUUAAUUUAUUGUACGAUCUCUAGCAUCCCCAAUGAUUUCUUCAUGUACAGCGCAGCUAUGCCCACCGUUUUGCCUGCUACCUUCAAGAAUAUUACAAAGGUCGAUGAUACAACAUGGCAAGAGACACCAACUCUGGGUCAUCAGCUUCAAAGGAAGGAAACCUGGGCCAUCAGUAGCGCCAUCCAGAUGGUGAUAUCGAAGUACCACUGCAGAGGAGGCUGCAACAUAUAUGGUGUCUUAGUCAUCCAGUGCUGCCAUAACAGACAUACCGCAAGUGGAUGACUUUAACAAAGAGAAAUUUAUUUUCUUAUGGUAAAGUAGGCUAAAAGUCCAAAUUCAGGGUGUCAGCACCAGGGGAAGACUUCUCUCUCUGUGGGCUCUGGAGGAACGUCCUUGCUCUCAAUCUUCCCAUGGUUGAGGAGCUUCUCAGGCACAGGGACCUCGGGUCCAAAGGAUGCGCUCUGCUCCUGGUGCUGCUUUCUUGGUGGCAUGUAAGUCCCCAGCUCUCUGCUUGCUUCCCUCUACUUUUAUCUCUUGAGAGAGAAAAGCUGGUGCAGGCCACACCCCAGGGAAACUCCCUUUACCUUAGCUCAGGUAAGGGUGGUGUUAUAAUCCCACCCUAAUCCUCUCAACAUAAAAUUACAAUCACAAAAUGGAGGACAACCACACAAUACUGGGAAUCAUGGCCUAACCAAGUUGACACAUAUUUUGGGGGGGACACAAUUCAAUCCAUGACACAUGGUGAGCAAGCAGGUCAGAGUUCCAAAAUGCUGGGGAUCCUGACAUCACAGAAGGUCAUCUCCAAAGGCAAAGUUAUGAGACAAUAGUUGUUGCCACUUUUGGUUUCUCUGCUGGCUUAACCACAGGCCCUUAUAUGAAACCAUGAAAAUGAAAGAACUUUUCUUGUGUCUCUCUUUGUGUCCUUUCCUUCCAUUUCAGUAUCCCCCAACCAGUACCAGCUACAGAAUUUGUGGGGCCCAGGGCAAAAUGAAAAUGGGAGGUCCCUUCUUCCAAAAUUAUUAAGAAUUUCAAGACAGUGACAGCAGAGCUCAAACAAAGCAUAAGGCUCUUCUAAAUUCAGGGCCCUGUGUAACUAACUACAUUGGUUGCUCACUCAUGAAGCUGGCCCAGCUCCCAACUCCUCACCAAGGGCUCAGGGGCCUCACACUGCCUAAGCUUGAAUAGGAAACCUCACCCUGGCUGCUCCUGGGGGGGCUGCCUUACCCACAGUGCCCCACACAGUUCUCUUAGGUCCCCUCCUCCAGGAUCCUGCUAGUCACCCCCACUCAGCUGAGCAUGGGUGUCAAGGUGCUGGUGGCUAACAGUAGAAUAAUGAAUGAGUAGAGGGAGUUUGUGUUUUGACCCAAUGAAGUGUCUCGGGUGGAAGGAUUUUAGGGCCCAUGACAAGCUCCUGGAGGAAGGAAUUUAGGCCUUUUCAAUCACACUACCAAUCUCUUGUUUAUUCCCAUCCAUGGUUUGGCCCUCAGUUGAGGAAUUUUUAUUCAUACAUUCUUUUAACAUUUAUUGAGCACAUACUAUCCGCCAGGCAUUGUGCUAGGUUCUGGUAAUGCAAGGGUGACUGAGGUUUGCUCCCAGCCUUUGAAGAGCUCCCAUCUACUACAGUUAGUGGAACACAAAGAGGAUAAUUAUACACAGUGGUGCUGUCAGUGGGAGAUAUGAAGUAGUUGAGUGACAUUGCAAAAAAAAGUGUGAGUGGUCAGAGAGACUGGAUCAUGCAGUGUUUUGUUUUGCUUUUAAUCAUUUUAGUAGGCAAACGCAGAGCAGUUACCAUACAGAUUAUGUGCAGAAACACACCUUAUUUUAUUACUAAAACUGACCCAAUUCUCUGUAAAUUUUAUACUUUGCUUGAAGUAGAGACCUUGUUCUACACCAUUCAGUGUACUCAGUCCAGGCCCAAUUCACAUAUUUUAUCCCAGUCAUUGUCCAGUCCGAGCAUAGUCCCAAAAAGGUAAAUAUCUGGUUGUUUAGGGGUUCUCUCUGCUAAAAUAACACCUAUAUUAAGCCAAUAAUAGAAACUGAUUAGUUUAUUUAUUGUAAAAAAAAAAACAAAAAACCCUCGCCGUCAAGUUGAUUCCAACUCAUAGUGACCCUAUAGGACAGAGCAGAACUGCCCUAUAGUGUUUCCAAGGCUGUAAUCUUUGUGGAAGCAGACUGUCACAUCUCUUUCCUGCAGGGCUGCUGGUGGGUUUGAACCACUGACCUUUUGGUUAGCAGCCAAGUGCUAAACAACUUUGCCACAAGUCAAAAAUGUUCAAGAGAAGGAAAAUCCUUUGCAGGCUUUACACCCCAGCUUAUCGUCAAAAUAAAUGAAAAUCUCAUUGCUAUCGAGUUGAACUCUGACUCAUAGUGAACUUAGGGUCUCCAAGGAGCCGCUGGUGGAUUUGAACUGCUAAUCUCUUGGUUAGCAUCCGUACCUCAGCUGUAGCUCCUAACCACUGCACCACCAGGGCUCCCAUCAUCAGAAUAAGCAAACAAACAAACCCGUUGCCAUCAAGGGGAUUUUUGACUCAUAGUGAUCCUGUAGGACAGCGUAAACUGACCCACAGGGUUCCCAAAGAGCGGCUGAUGGAUUCCAACUGUUGAACUUUUGGUUAGCAGCCUGAGCUCUUAGGUUUACAGAAUAACUUGUGGUCAUGCAGGAUUCCAUACUACAUUUUCUUGAAGAAGAAUUCAGGUAAUUACUGAUUGACCUUAAAACACAGCUUCUAGUCUGACCUUUGGAAUUGCUGUUGUCAAACCGACUGCACAUAGAUAGUUCUUGAAGAUAGCACAAUGCCCAGGGCGAACAUUUUUUACUAAUAAACUACUGUUUAAGGAGCACAGGUGGCACAACAGUUAGCUUUCAAUUGGUGAUUUGAACCCACCCAGUGGCUUCGUGGGAGAAAUACCUAUCGAUCUGCU